CCAGAGAUGGCUUGGUGCCUUCGGGAACUGUGAGACAGGUGCUGCAUGGCUGUCGUCAGCUCGUGUUGUGAAAUGUUGGGUUAAGUCCCGCAACGAGCGCAACCCUUAUCCUUUGUUGCCAGCGGUUAGGCCGGGAACUCAAAGGAGACUGCCAGUGAUAAACUGGAGGAAGGUGGGGAUGACGUCAAGUCAUCAUGGCCCUUACGACCAGGGCUACACACGUGCUACAAUGGCGCAUACAAAGAGAAGCGACCUCGCGAGAGCAAGCGGACCUCAUAAAGUGCGUCGUAGUCCGGAUUGGAGUCUGCAACUCGACUCCAUGAAGUCGGAAUCGCUAGUAAUCGUAGAUCAGAAUGCUACGGUGAAUACGUUCCCGGGCCUUGUACACACCGCCCGUCACACCAUGGGAGU
This 411-nucleotide ribosomal RNA is filed under the name Klebsiella quasipneumoniae subsp. similipneumoniae. Its description in RNAcentral is "bacterial SSU rRNA". It matches the Rfam family "Bacterial small subunit ribosomal RNA", at positions 1000 to 1411 of the family's 1533-position model. RNAcentral also lists the same sequence under 1 other name. Lineage: Bacteria; Pseudomonadati; Pseudomonadota; Gammaproteobacteria; Enterobacterales; Enterobacteriaceae. The record is from RNAcentral.